GUAGGGUGCGAGCGUUGUCCGGAAUUACUGGGCGUAAAGGGCUCGUAGGUGGUUUGUCGCGUCGUCUGUGAAAUUCCGGGGCUUAACUCCGGGCGUGCAGGCGAUACGGGCAUAACUUGAGUACUGUAGGGGUAACUGGAAUUCCUGGUGUAGCGGUGAAAUGCGCAGAUAUCAGGAGGAACACCGAUGGCGAAGGCAGGUUACUGGGCAGUUACUGACGCUGAGGAGCGAAAGCAUGGGUAGCGAACAGGAUUAGAUACCCUGGUAGUCCAUGCCGUAAACGCUGGGCGCUAGGUGUGAGGGUCUUUUCACGACUUUCGUGCCGUAGCUAACGCAUUAAGCGCCCCGCCUGGGGAGUACGGCCGCAAGGCUA
RNAcentral lists this ribosomal RNA (373 nucleotides) under uncultured bacterium. Its description in RNAcentral is "bacterial SSU rRNA". It matches the Rfam family "Bacterial small subunit ribosomal RNA", at positions 527 to 896 of the family's 1533-position model. The record is from RNAcentral.